GAUGAACGCUGGCGGCGUGCCUAAUACAUGCAAGUCGAGCGAACAGACGAGGAGCUUGCUGCUUUGACGUUAGCGGAGGACGGGUGAGUAACACGUGGGUAAUCUACCUAUCAGACUGGGAUAACUUCGGGAAAGCGGAGCUAAUACCGGAGAAUAUUUCGAACCGCAUGGUUCGAUAGUGAAAGUUGGCUUUGCUAUAACUUAUAGAUGGACCUGCGCCGUAUUGGGUAGUUGGUAAGGUAACGGCUUACCAAGGCAACGAAACGUAGGCGACGUGAGAGGCGGAUCGCCCACACGGGAGCGGGGACAGGGUCCAGGCUCCUACGAGAGGGCGCAGAAGGGAAUGUGCCGCAGUAGGGGAAAGCCUGACGGAGCAACGGCGCGUGAGAUAUGACGGUCUUCGGAUCGUAAUACUCUGUUAUUAGGGAUGAACAAACUUGUAAAGAGCUGUGCACGUCGUGACGGUACCUAGUCAAGAAGCCACGGCUAACUACGUG
This 497-nucleotide ribosomal RNA is filed under the name uncultured bacterium. Its description in RNAcentral is "partial 16S ribosomal RNA". It matches the Rfam family "Bacterial small subunit ribosomal RNA", at positions 28 to 507 of the family's 1533-position model. The record is from RNAcentral.